UUGCCAAGUGUCAUCAAAACUAUUCGAUAUAAUUUGAGAGCACUUAAAAAAAUUUUCUUGGCAUUUGACGCACGGCAACGAAAUAUACGAGUUAUUUUUUCUACGUGAUGCGCAACACGUUUAAAACAUUAGUUUAAUACAUCACAUAUCUAAAACAACUUGAUGGUUGUAAAAUU
This is a long non-coding RNA of Chrysoperla carnea, 176 nucleotides long. RefSeq lists it as uncharacterized. NCBI's taxonomy places the organism in Eukaryota, Metazoa, Arthropoda, Insecta, Neuroptera, Chrysopidae. The transcript has 2 exons. The record is from RefSeq and is a predicted model, not a curated record.